AUGCAAACGGGCCCGUGUUCCUACAGCAUCAAACUGUCUUGUGUCCGAAGUGUGUGCCUCGUACGUAGGUAGCAAAUUUGGCCGUCGCACUUGUCGUGGGUGGGGCCCCAUUUACUGUACAUAUCCAUUAGGUAGCAAAUUUGGCCGUCGCACUUGUCGUGGGUGGGGGCCCAUUUACUGUAUAUAUCAAUUAGAUUUUGACCUCUAUGGGUCCGACACCUUUUCU
This is a long non-coding RNA of Macrobrachium nipponense, 226 nucleotides long. RefSeq lists it as uncharacterized. Lineage: Eukaryota; Metazoa; Arthropoda; Malacostraca; Decapoda; Palaemonidae. The transcript has 4 exons. The record is from RefSeq and is a predicted model, not a curated record.